RNAcentral lists this ribosomal RNA (445 nucleotides) under uncultured bacterium. RNAcentral describes it as "partial 16S ribosomal RNA". It matches the Rfam family "Bacterial small subunit ribosomal RNA", at positions 354 to 796 of the family's 1533-position model. The record is from RNAcentral.
GUAGGGAAUAUUGGGCAAUGGAUGCAAGUCUGACCCAGCCAUCCCGCGUGCCGGAAGAAGGCCCUCAGGGUUGUAAACGGCUUUUGACGGUGAAGAAUCGACAGGAUGCGUCCUGUUUUGACGGUAGCCGUUGAAUAAGCACCGGCUAACUCCGUGCCAGCAGCCGCGGUAAUACGGAGGGUGCGAGCGUUGUCCGGAUUUAUUGGGUUUAAAGGGUGCGUAGGCUGGAAGGUCAGUCAGCGGUGAAAAGCUGUCGCUUAACGAUAGUCUUGCCGCAGAUACUUCCUUUCUUGGAUGAGGAGGAGGCCACUGGAACGGAUGGUGUAGCGGUGAAAUGCAUAGAUAUCAUCCAGAACACCGGUUGCGAAGGCAGGUGGCUGUACCUUAAUCGACGCUGAUGCACGAAAGCAUGGGGAGCAAACAGGAUUAGAAACCCCGGUAGUCC